CGUCGUCGUGGGCGGGGCCCUCGCGCUCGGCGCCACCUUCGCCGUGGGCUCGUUGCUCGGCACGACGGCGAUGG
RNAcentral lists this transfer RNA (74 nucleotides) under Promicromonospora citrea. RNAcentral describes it as "tRNA-Gly". The record is from RNAcentral. Lineage: Bacteria; Bacillati; Actinomycetota; Actinomycetes; Micrococcales; Promicromonosporaceae.